Centruroides sculpturatus (bark scorpion) is the source of this 1186-nucleotide long non-coding RNA. RefSeq lists it as uncharacterized. NCBI's taxonomy places the organism in Eukaryota, Metazoa, Arthropoda, Arachnida, Scorpiones, Buthidae. The record is from RefSeq and is a predicted model, not a curated record. The transcript has 2 exons.
UCACUGCUUGCUAAUUUAAAUUAUCCAAUCACAACAUACAAAUGGUGUAUGUCCGUUGACGUCAAUAACGUAGAUAGUUGCGCGUAUAAAUGUCUUGACUCACUUGUUAGUGGUCUUCUUUCACUCGUUCAAUCGUCUGCGCAUUCUCAUCGGAACCUUGACAAAAAUUUUCAUGCCACGUGGUCCAAAUAGUUCAACUCCGUCAAACAAAAAUAAUGGACAGAAUGAAUAAUCUCAAAGGAUUAAAGAAAUAGCAGACCUCGGUAGAUGCUACUACGCCAGAGGAAAGCGCUCAUCGUCAUCCUCUUCCACUUCACUUUGAGUAAUACGCGUGCUUCCGAAAGAUGCAAUGGAGAGCGAAAGGAGAAAUCGCAUACACCCGACAACAAACGGGUAAUUGUGAUAUCUCCCAACGAAAGCACCUCGUCUCUCAUCGACUUCCUUGAAUAGUGGGUAGAAAGAUGGUCACGUGAGAUAGCAUUCCACGGUAAGGAGUCUAAAGUGAUCCUGAAAAACAUCAGUGAAGCGUCAAAUACCUUGUGGGAAAGGGUUUUAUUCUUGAAGUAAUAGAAGCUUUCUUACUUUCUACCUGACAAGACUCUGUCAUCUGGAAAUUACCUUUAUUUUUUUUUUUUUUUUACAACUCGACGAACCGGAUGUCACUUUCCAUUCUCGGUUUUCUCUCUUUCCAAUUUACGACACUCGGACAGAUAUUUCGCCCCCAUUCAAGGACGCAUUAUUCCAAUUCAGUUAAAGUCUGUAGAACGACAGUGUGAAGUCAAUCGUCGCCAAAGUAACAACAAAAACCUUUGGCAGUGUUUCUCGUAGGGAUGAGGAGUCGGUGGAAAAAUACACGACUCCGACUCCAUCCCUGGUUUUUCGAGUUCACAUACUUUGUUAUGCUAUUGUUCCGAAUCGUUUUAAAUGAUUAUAAAUGGCCGAGGUAACUUCUAUUACGCAGACAUUUACAACCGGUGUUCUGCCGCUUAAAAAUCUCACCACAAAAGAGCGGAUGUUGGCCACCAGAUUACACUACUAGAAGGAAGCCAUUCCAACGUUCAAUUUAAAACACAUUGCAGUCAGUAUAAGCCAGAAUGAUAAUUAUUUCAACAAUGUAAUUUGUAUAUCGAAUCGUCUUGACUGUAUAUAAAUUUUUAUAUUUUAUUAAAAUUUCAUAUUAACUGUU